CUACGGGUUGCAGCAGUGGGGAAUCUUAGACAAUGGGGGAAACCCUGAUCUAGCCAUGCCGCGUGAGUGACGAAGGCCUUAGGGUCGUAAAGCUCUUUCGCUGGGGAAGAUAAUGACUGUACCCAGUAAAGAAACCCCGGCUAACUCCGUGCCAGCAGCCGCGGUAAUACGGAGGGGGUUAGCGUUGUUCGGAAUUACUGGGCGUAAAGCGCGCGUAGGCGGACUGGAAAGUUGGGGGUGAAAUCCCGGGGCUCAACCCCGGAACGGCCUCCAAAACUAUCAGUCUAGAGUUCGAGAGAGGUGAGUGGAAUUCCGAGUGUAGAGGUGAAAUUCGUAGAUAUUCGGAGGAACACCAGUGGCGAAGGCGGCUCACUGGCUCGAUACUGACGCUGAGGUGCGAAAGCGUGGGGAGCAAACAGGAUUAGAUACCCGGGUAGUC
This 439-nucleotide ribosomal RNA is filed under the name uncultured bacterium. RNAcentral describes it as "partial 16S ribosomal RNA". It matches the Rfam family "Bacterial small subunit ribosomal RNA", at positions 339 to 795 of the family's 1533-position model. The record is from RNAcentral.